This is a long non-coding RNA of Gambusia affinis (western mosquitofish), 555 nucleotides long. RefSeq lists it as uncharacterized. The transcript is spliced from 3 exons. The record is from RefSeq and is a predicted model, not a curated record. Lineage: Eukaryota; Metazoa; Chordata; Actinopteri; Cyprinodontiformes; Poeciliidae.
GGUGGGCAGUGACCUGGCAGGCGGAGAUUGGCUGGGAGCACAAAAGGCUCGAAAUGACAAGUUUCAUCGGGGACUCAUGGGACAGAAGGUUAACUUGGAGUGAAAGAACUUUAGUCAGACUGUCACAUCGUUCAACAAGUCUUCAAGUCUAACCAUUGUUCUCGUACCUGAUGACAUUGUCUGACGACAUUCUCUGAACACUCUGUAAACCCACGGGCUAGCUGCGACUGAAAAGACCUGCACAACCACUUCAGCAGGCUGUCUUCUCCUCGUCUAAUUUACAUAAUUUGAUCUUGUACUUAAAAACAACAGACAACACAUGAAGUCCAUAGCUCAGUUUCAACAGACACUACAAAUCUUUCCAAGAAGAUGUCAACAAAAGCUCCCAACAGACAUGAAACUCUUCAUUGUCUACAGUGUCAAGGGAUGAACAUCCCAGGUUACAGGAGGAGUGACAUGACAUAUGAGAGCGGGACGUAGAUGUUUCUGUCGGGGACAAUCAAAGGAUGGACACUUUUUUACCAACCGAGACACCUGAUUCACCGAUACUCCCAC